Molecule: transfer RNA, 82 nt
Filed under: Streptomyces violaceus
Lineage: Bacteria; Bacillati; Actinomycetota; Actinomycetes; Kitasatosporales; Streptomycetaceae
Also listed under: 1 other name
Description: tRNA-Thr
Source: RNAcentral
CGAACCCGGCGGCGGGCGGUUCCGGCGCGGGCGCCCCUGGUGCGGGCGCUCCCGGUGCCGGUGCGUCCGGCGGGGCUCGGCC